CGGCUGGCAGGCGCAGCGGCAUCGGGGCAUGGGUGUUCAGUACGCUCCUGAAUGCCGCCCUGCUGUGGGGAUUCCUUCACUGCUACGGCACCGCGAGGUUGAUUUCAGUGUGUCAUCUUAUUGGAAAACUAUUAGCCGCAGAAUUUAGCAACAGAAGACGCGCGCGUGGCCUACGGAGAGAAUAACGCGCGCGGUAUGGCCAAGGAAGAGAAACGCGAGUGACUGUCGUGGCUCUCGCCGGACACGAACGGCGCUUGCGCCGGGCUGGUCUGCUUAUAGCUGUUGCUACUCCAGACUCGACGACAAGUGCUAUCCUCAUGAGGCUAGACAAGUCGUUGUGCCAAUCCAGCGAGAGUGUCCAACAGCGGAAAGUCAUCUGAAGAAUCAUGUCCCAGUGAGUAGUCCAGCUCCAGCAACAAGACCACAUCUGGUUUCCACCAAGAAGCUGGACCAGCGGCAUUGUACUCAGGGAGAAAGAGAUCAGAGGACGGAUGGAAGGGAUGGCGACAACGUCAUAUUCGAAAGGGAAUAACGCUGGAAUACCUUGUUGUUGCUACCUGUCAGAGUUCAUAAUUAUGAACUAAAUUACUUGGCACUUCUUAGUUGCCAAACUUGACAGUUGCUAAGACCUUCUGUCGACAAGAUACACAAACAUACAAUUGCAUGGUAAGUUAACGUCUUCUGAUGGAUUUUGUUUGCCUUUCUUGACAAGAAAACUAUAACUAUCUGCUUACAGUUUAUCAAAGGUAAUCUGCCAGCGACAUGAGAAGUAUGUUCAUUGAUUUCAUGUGGACUAACUUACUGGAUGAUUUUAUUAAUUUCUUAUAGCUUCACUCCAAUAAUUCUCCCUAUAUUUUUGGGUAAUUCAUUUCAUCCAAUAGUUGAUAGUUGCUUCAUUAUUACAAAAAUUGAUCAGACCAGGAAAAGAGAUCUUACGAUAGUUUUUUCGUUAUUACGAAAAAUUCAUCGGAGAGAAAAAUAAAUCCUAUCUGAUAGUUUGAUCUUUUUCCCCAUUAUCUGAGAAAAGUUCUCCCUAGAUCGCGGAUGCAAUCGUGGCAUGAGAUUGUUAAGAGUGAAGACAUGCAUAUGGGUACUAUGUAGAGUAUUCGAAGAGGUCAUCUUCAUGAAACUAGCAGAGGAUAGACAUUAGGAAAAAUGAGAGACGAGGUGAGUUUUUGUUGUUCACCAUCCAAUUCAAGCAUCACACAAAUUAAGCAUUACUAUUCAAAGGAUGCAUAGUUAACCUGUUCAUCUUUUCUAGAGGAAUUAAUAAGUUAUUAAAAUUUGUGUCCCGUUGCAACGCACGGGCUCUUUUGCUAGUCUCUCCCUAAUAAUAAAGCACGGAUUGGGUCUCCGGGUUCACCGUGGCGCCGUUUUUGCAAAAUAAUGCCUGCACUUUUUAGUAAUUUGGCCCGCAGUCCUCAUAUUAUAUUAACUGAACCUGAAGCGAUACGAGCGAGAGAAAAGAAAAACAAACCGAGCCACCAGCCCACGACCCUUCCUCUCUCGAUCUCAUCUAGACCUCCUGCUCCGCCCCGCCCCGCCCCUCACCGCCGUCCGCGGCCGCGCGCCGCCGCCCCCUACUCCGCCGGCGCGCUUACCCAUUACCCCAAGUGCCAACACACCCGCGCCCAUCGACUACGGGCGACCCGCGGCCUUCCACCGCCGGCGACGCUCGACGUCGCGGCCAUUGGCGGCUCCCCGGCCCUGCUACCAUGGCGCCUCCGGGACUCCUCCCCGCUCCUUCCACCUCGACAUUGGUUUUCCCAACCCCGCCGGCUUCGCCACCAGCCACUCCUUCCAGGCGCACUCUAUCCGCCGUCGUCGGACCCAUCCGACUGGUUCCAAUGGCGAACAUCGACGCGAUUCACCCGCCCACCAUCAGAUGCGACAGCAAAUCCAUAGCCCCUGGCCAUCUCCUCCGCCGCCGGCGCCGGUGCCUCGAAGGUCAAGGGAAGACCCUCUACUCGGCCCCCAUCGCCGUCCGCACCGCCGCCCUUUGCCGCCGCCACCACCGCCGUCCAAAUCGCCGCCCCCAUAGCCGUCCAAACUACUCUCCGCAACACCUCUCCAUCCCACAGCUGCCGAAGACAGGGAGGAGGACGAGGCUGGCUAGGCAGGGAGGCCGAAGGUGAAGUGCAGUGGGAGGCACAUCGGUUUGUGCAGAGGGAGGUCUAUGGUCAGCUCAUUGGAAUCUCACAGGCCACCACGGGGAGAGCAAUCACGCAGGCACAUCAACCUCCCCCGCCAGGUAUGUUCAAUUGAACCUUCACUAUUAGUUGAGCUAACCGUCUCCAACAGCAACGUCCCAAUCACAAAUAAUUAUUUAGGUUUCUUACUGUGUGCGUGGAUGUGGCAUUGGAAGGAUAGAUGGCAGUACUCGUGUGGAUGCAACAACUGACUGUUAGUUUGUUCAUUCAGAGACUACCACGAACCAGUUUGAUUUGUGCUAUAAUGCUCUUGCAAAUAAUUAUAGAUGUUGGUGAAAACUGCAGAUGUUGUGGUGUUCAGGAAGGACCGUAGAUACAGCAGCGGUCCAUCCGCAACCGCGGCCACGGGUGCCUAAUCUAAGGCGACCUCCUGUUUUGACAUCGUCCUUGGUAGCUGCAAGCGUGGAAACAACCUUGGCAGUGCAGCGGCAGCCACAAGGUUGUUCCUAGACCACUCCACCUCUGAACUGUACAACCUGCUGUGCUUUCUAGCUAUUCUAUUUAUAUGUAGCCAUACAUUGGUACAGUUAAUUCAUAAACAUGAUUCAAUAGGAUUUGAUAUUUUUUCAUGUCUCAAGUUUUUAGCUCUUCCCUCUUGGUGUGCAAAUCUUUUAGAGGGAAUUUGGUGUGCCAAUUAUUUUCCUGAUUACUGUAGUUGUAGUUUUUCUCACUGUUAGAGCAGAGUAAAAUUCAAACUAUGAUAUUAGUGGUGGUUAGCUGAUAACUUGCUCAUAACAGGGGGCACACUAAUCUUCUUUCUUUUCUUCUCUAACAAAGUCUUAAUAUUAUAAGAAUGUUGUUUUCUUCUUUCAUAAUCUGACAAAUAAAAUUUCCCCUAAUUUCAGUUUGGAUAAGUCAAGGUUGCUUUUGGAUCUUAGUAGAAGAUAGACGUUAUGGAUUUAGACAAAAAUAGAUGUGGAUUUAGGGGUUCCGUAUGAUACUCAUGUCUUCUCUAUUUGGGGUACAAGUUCAAGUGAUCUUUUAGGCUACUAUUGAAGGGAAAUAUGUAUGCCGUUUUGUUCAUUUCAUCUCCACCUACCCACCUCGCAUCUACACAAUCCAACUACUCAAAGGAACAUACAGUUCUAGAAGUGAGAACUGUUGAGCUAUUAUAGCGCAGUUUUGGGAUGAUGGAUGUUCAGGCCAGCUAUGCAGACCUUAAGGUAAAUGUUUUUCCAGCUAAUUAACAUGAAAUGUCUUGUAACUUGAACUAAUAAUGAACAACUGAGGAAUGCUGCCUGAAUGAAUCCAAAAUGUGUUGGAAACACCAACGUCCAGUUGGAGAGGGAGCUAUCUGGAUCUCCAUCCAACUAGGACAUGUCUGCUUACAACUUUUUGUUGAACAUGAUAUUACAUGAUUCUAUCAAAGAUAACUCUCCUUUCUUCAGUGUACAUGCAUGAUAUUACAUGAUUAAACAUACCAUUUUUAACUUCAUUUAGUUGUCUAUAUUAUGCUCUAUGUGCUAUCACCAACAAAAAUAGUGUUACCUCCGUACCAGGCCUACCAAAUAUCUUAUAUUUUGGUACACAUGUAGUAUUUUUAGCCUGCAAAGCGACUCCUAUGCCCAGUGUGCCAAUAAUGUGUUUGCACCAGUGAAGAGAUAACUUAUUUUUUACAUUGUAAGAAAUACAUCCUGUUUCUUCCCCAUCAUUUAAGUGUGUGGCAUGCUAUCUUUGUUCAUGUUGCUGGCUGUACAUUUUCAGUAUUGUCAGGAUAUAUCUGAUUAUGAUGAUGUUCAGUACUACUUUGGAGCCGCAACUUUUUGGACUGCUUGAUGUUUAUAACCAAUGAGACUACUUUUUUGGUUGUUGGCUGGAGCUAUCACUAUGACUGGAUUUGUUUUCACCCAAGUAGAUUUAUAUGGUCAUCAAAAACCAACGACAGGUCAACACUUGUCAGCAGUUUGCAAUUUGUAUUACAGUAUGCCUAAGCCAAUGGUCAGACAAUGUUGUUUUAGUUAGGAAAUGUAGAAAAUGUGGUCAUGAUUUAUGUAGAUUCGACAGUCCCUUCAAACUGCAGUCUUCAACCUUGAGUGGACCAUCUAACUAUAUGUUUCCUUGUAGAAAAUUGACUAUAUGUUCCAUGAAUUGACUGAUUAUUUUGGCCCGAUCAGAUUAAACUAGGUCUUGAUUUGAAGGUCCAGCUAAGGCAGCUGGUGCUGGUUUAUUUGUUGUAAUACUAACUGUGCUAUUUAGACAGAGACAUGUGGUCUUUCUCAUUCCUCGAAAUUUUCCUUUGCUACCAAGAUUUUCCAUUCUAGGUUGUGGAAAAAUACAUGUAGCAUUCCUUCUACAAGUCGUCAUGAGCUGGGACAUAGAAGAAGAGAGCCGACGAGAAGUCGCACAGCGGUUCGCUCCGGUGUGGCUGCCAAUGGCGUUGCGCAAAGUGCAGAUUACAGGCUAGAUGCGUACGAGUCUGUCCCUACUUCCACGACGUGGAAGCAAAGGAAAUCGAGUCAAUUAGAUAGUAUAUUUGGUUAUGUAAGUUGUCUUUUGUGUAUGCAGUUUUACCAUUAUUUUGUAAAAGCUUUGAGUUUUUGAUAAUGUAAUUGUCUUACUAAUCACACUUUUAAUCUAUUCGUGCCAAGGCUAACAGCCAAGUUAUGCACAAGCUGUUGAUGUUUCCUUGA
This is a long non-coding RNA of Triticum dicoccoides, 4840 nucleotides long. RefSeq lists it as uncharacterized. NCBI's taxonomy places the organism in Eukaryota, Viridiplantae, Streptophyta, Magnoliopsida, Poales, Poaceae. The record is from RefSeq and is a predicted model, not a curated record. The transcript is spliced from 6 exons.